UAGGCAUUAAAAGUGUGCACUACCCCACCACGACUCUCACUUAGCCAAAAAUUUGAUGAUAAAGCCAUUUGGUGGAAGGACAAACAAUCCUAUAGUUUGAAAAUAGUGGUUGUUUGGAAUGUUUUUCUAUCAUGCAUAACACAGUACCUUUUCCCAAUUAAUAUGAUUGACUGUUUUAAAAGAUAUAGUUGGGGUGUGUUAAGCAGCUUGUCUAAUUUUAGCCUUGGGUAGAGACAGGAGCAAGAGAUCAAAGUGAGAAAACUAUUUUAUACAUAGUUUAAUAAAUGUCUAAAGUAUUUUAGUUUUUAUAUAAGAAUUUUCUAAGAAACCCUUACCUCCUGCAUUUCUGUGUAUGUGUAUGUGCUUUGCCUGUGUUUAUGUGUAUGCAUCAUGUAUAUGAUGUGUCCACAGAGGUCAGAAAAGAGGGCACAUCUGGAACAGAUGGUUGUGGUGCCAGGAAUUGAACUUGGGUCCUUGAGAAGAGCAGCCAGUGCUCUUAGUUACUAAGUCCUCCUUCCAGCCCCACUUUCUCUUUUAAACAAUUGGGAAGACUUUUUUAUAGGUAUUUUGAAGCAGAUGAAGAAAAUAGUUCUUUCUAUAUUCGAGUAUCCAAAAGUAGUAGUGUGGCAGUCAGGCUGUGUUUGGCUGCUUUGGAUAACAGUUAAGUAAUCUGAAAUUAGCUUACAGUCCUCAAGUAUUUAUUUGCCUCUUAAUUUAUAAGAGUUUGUCGGUCCUCGUUAACCGGAUGAUUUUGUUCAUGUUUGGUAUGUGGUCAGUUUAGUUCCUGCCAGACUGGUCUGAGCUCCUUUUCAAUUAUCCUGAAAGUUUGCCUUCAUAAGCUCAUCCUGGCUGUGAGUGCUUCCCUGGUGUUCUAAUGCACAUGUAGUGUGAAACAACUACUUACUUUUGGUGAGGCAGUUGCUUUCAGUCCAUUUUAAACACUGUUCUACUAAUAGCCUUAACAUAAUUUGGACUAGUCAUUUGUUAAUAUUUUGCUGCCCUUGGGGAAAGUUUAUACUCAAAAGUAUAUUUGAUAUUUUCUAACUUUAAAUUAAAAUUUAACAGAAAUAUCUGUUAAUUCUAUUAACAACACUAGUAGCAGAGAAAUAAGGGCACCAUUGUAAGGGGCUGUGUUAUUAGCAGCCUUGGGAACAGGCAGUCCCACUCUUAGUGUGUCAGGCUCAUGAUUGUUGAGAAUCUUUGCUUCGUAGUAAAAUUUCUCAUGAGUAGUUGGGAGUUGGCUGUAAUAAUUUGCCAUUUGAGACUGAUUAUUUUUAAAUGUACUUUUAUUUAAAAUAAAAGUAUAAAACUAA
RNAcentral lists this long non-coding RNA (1313 nucleotides) under Rattus norvegicus (Norway rat). RNAcentral describes it as "long non-coding RNA NONRATT018137". The record is from RNAcentral. Lineage: Eukaryota; Metazoa; Chordata; Mammalia; Rodentia; Muridae.